UACGAAGGACCCGAGCGUUAUCCGGAUUUAUUGGGUUUAAAGGGUGCGUAGGCGGAUUAGUAAGUCAGUGGUGAAAGCCCAUCGCUUAACGGUGGAACUGCCAUUGAUACUGCUAGUCUUGAGUAUGGUUGAGGUGGGCGGAAUGUGUCAUGUAGCGGUGAAAUGCUUAGAUAUGACCCAGAACACCAAUUGCGAAGGCAGCCCGCUAAGCCAUAACUGACGCUGAGGCACGAAAGCGUGGGGAGCAAACAGG
RNAcentral lists this ribosomal RNA (253 nucleotides) under uncultured bacterium. RNAcentral describes it as "partial 16S ribosomal RNA". It matches the Rfam family "Bacterial small subunit ribosomal RNA", at positions 524 to 776 of the family's 1533-position model. The record is from RNAcentral.